AACGCACCUUGCACUCUUUGGUAUUCCGAAGAGUAUGUCUGUUUGAGUGUCGUGAAUCUCUCAACCCCCCUAUUUUGUAAUGAGAUAGGCUUUGUGGGCUUGGAUUAUGGCUGUCUGCUGGCUAGUAAUAGCCGGCUCAGCUGAAAUACACGAGUUACCCUUGCUAUUCAUAACCUUUGAACGGCUUGACUCGGCGUAAUAAUUAUUUCGCUGAGGACGUUUAAAAAUGUUGCAAUAGAUUAUAGUGGUGCUUCUAAUGCCAUUACAAUUUUGUGUUAGACCUCAAAUCAGAUAGGACUACCCGCUGAACUUAA
RNAcentral lists this unclassified non-coding RNA (314 nucleotides) under uncultured fungus. Its description in RNAcentral is "partial contains 5.8S ribosomal RNA, internal transcribed spacer 2, and large subunit ribosomal RNA". The stretch from base 1 to 52 matches the Rfam family "5.8S ribosomal RNA", at positions 103 to 154 of the family's 154-position model. The record is from RNAcentral. Lineage: Eukaryota; Fungi.